GCUGGAUUCGCUAGUAAUCGCGCAUCAGCCACGGCGCGGUGAAUACGUUCCCGGGCCUUGUACACACCGCCCGUCAAGCCAUGGAAGCCGGGAGUGCCUGAAGUGCGUGACCGCAAGGAGCGUCCUAAGGCAAUACCGGUGACUGGGGCUAAGUCGUAACAAGGUACC
Molecule: ribosomal RNA, 168 nt
Filed under: uncultured bacterium
Lineage: Bacteria
Description: partial 16S ribosomal RNA
Rfam family: Bacterial small subunit ribosomal RNA
Source: RNAcentral